RNAcentral lists this ribosomal RNA (422 nucleotides) under uncultured Arcticibacter sp. Its description in RNAcentral is "bacterial SSU rRNA". It matches the Rfam family "Bacterial small subunit ribosomal RNA", at positions 355 to 774 of the family's 1533-position model. The record is from RNAcentral. Lineage: Bacteria; Pseudomonadati; Bacteroidota; Sphingobacteriia; Sphingobacteriales; Sphingobacteriaceae.
UAAGGAAUAUUGGUCAAUGGAGGCAACUCUGAACCAGCCAUGCCGCGUGCAGGAAGACGGCCCUACGGGUUGUAAACUGCUUUUGUACCGGAAUAAACCCCCGUAUGUAUACGGGGCUGAAUGUACGGUAAGAAUAAGGAUCGGCUAACUCCGUGCCAGCAGCCGCGGUAAUACGGAGGAUCCAAGCGUUAUCCGGAUUUAUUGGGUUUAAAGGGUGCGUAGGCGGCCUAUUAAGUCAGGGGUGAAAGACGGUGGCUCAACCAUCGCAGUGCCUUUGAUACUGAUGGGCUUGAAUGAACCUGAGGUAGGCGGAAUGUGACAAGUAGCGGUGAAAUGCAUAGAUAUGUCACAGAACACCAAUUGCGAAGGCAGCUUACUAAAGUUUAAUUGACGCUGAGGCACGAAAGCGUGGGGAUCAAACA